Molecule: transfer RNA, 72 nt
Filed under: Camelus bactrianus (Bactrian camel)
Lineage: Eukaryota; Metazoa; Chordata; Mammalia; Artiodactyla; Camelidae
Also listed under: 2 other names
Rfam family: tRNA
About the family: Transfer RNA (tRNA) molecules are approximately 80 nucleotides in length.
Source: Rfam by way of RNAcentral
GAGGGUAUAGCUCAGUGGUAGGGUGCAUGCUUAGCAUGCAUGAGGUCCUGGGUUCAAUCCCCAGUACCUCCU